AGUCGAGCGGUAACAGAUCCAGCUUGCUGGAUGCUGACGAGCGGCGGACGGGUGAGUAAUGCAUAGGAAUCUGCCCGAUAGUGGGGGAUAACCUGGGGAAACCCAGGCUAAUACCGCAUACGUCCUACGGGAGAAAGGGGGCUUCGGCUCCCGCUAUCGGAUGAGCCUAUGUCGGAUUAGCUAGUUGGUGAGGUAACGGCUCACCAAGGCCACGAUCCGUAGCUGGUCUGAGAGGAUGAUCAGCCACAUCGGGACUGAGACACGGCCCGAACUCCUACGGGAGGCAGCAGUGGGGAAUAUUGGACAAUGGGGGCAACCCUGAUCCAGCCAUGCCGCGUGUGUGAAGAAGGCCCUCGGGUUGUAAAGCACUUUCAGCGAGGAAGAACGCCUAGCGGUUAAUACCCGCUAGGAAAGACAUCACUCGCAGAAGAAGCACCGGCUAACUCCGUGCCAGCAGCCGCGGUAA
This 466-nucleotide ribosomal RNA is filed under the name uncultured Psychrobacter sp. RNAcentral describes it as "bacterial SSU rRNA". It matches the Rfam family "Bacterial small subunit ribosomal RNA", at positions 60 to 523 of the family's 1533-position model. The record is from RNAcentral. Lineage: Bacteria; Pseudomonadati; Pseudomonadota; Gammaproteobacteria; Moraxellales; Moraxellaceae.